This 523-nucleotide ribosomal RNA is filed under the name uncultured bacterium. Its description in RNAcentral is "bacterial SSU rRNA". It matches the Rfam family "Bacterial small subunit ribosomal RNA", at positions 8 to 524 of the family's 1533-position model. The record is from RNAcentral.
AGAGUUUGAUCCUGGCUCAGGAUGAACGCUAGCGGCAGGCCUAACACAUGCAAGUCGAGGGGCAGCACGAUUGAGCUUGCUUAAUUGGUGGCGACCGGCGCACGGGUGCGUAACGCGUAUGCAACCUACCUUAUACUGGGGUAUAGCCCGGAGAAAUUCGGAUUAAUCCCCCAUAGCAUUAUCGAUUCGCAUGUUUUGAUAAUUAAAGGUUACGGUAUAAGAUGGGCAUGCGUCCCAUUAGCUAGAUGGUGAGGUAACGGCUCACCAUGGCGACGAUGGGUAGGGGGCCUGAGAGGGUGGUCCCCCACACUGGUACUGAGACACGGACCAGACUCCUACGGGAGGCAGCAGUGAGGAAUAUUGGUCAAUGGGCGCAAGCCUGAACCAGCCAUGCCGCGUGCAGGAAGACGGUCCUAUGGAUUGUAAACUGCUUUUAUUCGGGAAUAAACCUCUUUACGUGUAGAGAGCUGAAGGUACCGAAUGAAUAAGCACCGGCUAACUCCGUGCCAGCAGCCGCGGUAAU